AGCCACCGCGGCGACUUGGCGGCGGGUGCCAUGCGUCUGGAGCUUCACAUUCUCUGCCCCCCACCCACCGCGCCGGCGCUCCCUUGUCACGCCUCGGGAAGCGCGCACCUGCCAAGCAGGAUGAAUAAUCUGAUAUCAUGUGAAAUGAGGAAAUAAGAAGCUUUCUGCUGACUUCAUUUUGACCCAGGGUCCAAAAGGUGAUGUAAUCCUGUGGCAAGAAGAUUCAAAACUGUGGACUAUCUUGCAAAAAAUACAAGAAGAUAUUGAAAGUUUUCAUGAGUGCCUACCACCUAAUCUCAAACACUAUCAUUCAUAUGUGCCUCAUUGAGCAAAUCUUUAAUGAGGAUCUAUAUGCCAGCAAUAUCUUUUGCUUGGGAGCAGAAACAGAAAGUACAUGAUGGACUUCAUUGAAGGAUGGAGAUUUGGAAGACAUGAAUGGAUGAAGAACCAAACGGAGUCUCGCUCUGUUGCCCAGGCUGUAGUUCAGUGGUGCAAUCUCAGCUCACUGCAAGCUCUGCCUCCCGGGUUCAUGCCAUUCUUCUGCCUCAGCCUCCCGAGUAGCUGGGACUACAAGCGCCUGCUACCACGCCUGGCUAAUUUUUUGUAUUUUUUAGUAGAGACGGAGUUUCACCAUGUUAGCCAGGAUGGUCUCGAUCUCCUGACCUUGUGAUCCACCCAUCUCGGCCUCCCAAAGUGCUAGGAUUACAGGCAUGAGCCACCACGCCCAGCCAACUUAUAACUUUUAUAUCAUUAGACACAUGGAAUAUGGGCCUCCGUUUGUACUCUUGCCCUUGGCCCCACAAACGUUAGGGAGAGGCCUGGCUCCUGCAAUGUACUAUUUACCUGUUGUAAAGAAUAGCCCUUCAAAAGUAUUAUUCUAAGUCUGUUUGACAUAAUAGGUCCAAAUUGUAUUACAACAUGGUAAAAAAACAACAAUCCAUUAACAAUCCUCUUUGGAUUUCUAAAAAAGUUUUGGUAGCCUAAACUCUUUCCCCAAUUUUUGAUAUCACUUCAUGUCAUUUUAGAGAGUAAGUUUUCCUGUUUUAUUAAUGUUUAUAUUUAAGCUGAAUUUUCUAAAAGAAUUGUGAGUGUUUUUAUUCUAUUGUGACAUUCAAGGUACGCAGCUGACCCUUGAGUAUAAGUCCCAUCAACUAAGUAAACAUCAAACAUAUCUUCAGUACAUCCCUUUAGAUCUUGACAGUUAUUUAUCACUUUUUCAUAAGUUCCAAAGUUCCAGAUGGUUACUGAUACAUUCAGGCUGACCACUGCUAGAUUUGAGACUUGUCCCACAGAUCUGCACUGUAUCUUCAUACCUUCAUUAAUAGAUCUUUUAUUCUUUUUUUUUUUAAUUUUUUUGGAGACGUGGGUCUCAUUAUGUUGCCCAGGCUGGUCUUGAACUUCUGGCCUCAAGUGAUCCUCCCAACUCAGCCUCCCAAAGUAUUGGAAUUAUAGGUGUGAGCCACUACACCCAGCCUAGAUCUCAAUCAGGUGACACUGAAAAUGUUUGGUCAUAAACCACAGUGAAGGAAGGGGAGGCAGCUGUUAGAUCAUCUGCCUUGACCCACAGUCCUCAUCCAUUUGCACCUUGGCAAGCCCUCUACUACAUCUGAAUCUCGAAAUGGGGGAUAACCUCUUGGGAGAGUCUAUGCUAGUACCCUUCUAGUAGUAGUUUACAAUCUGCCAACAAAUCUUGAAGCCUUAUUUGGUUGAUAUCAAUUUGAGAGGUGGGAGGUUCAGUUUCCAAAGAGUCAGGAAAGAGCAUUCAUCUAGGCUUGAGAAGCCUCCAUUUCCUAACUCAAGAGUUCUGAUUAGGUUGUUGGUUGAGUGACACAAGGCAAUCAUCUCACUUUUCUGUUCCUGAGCUUCUCCUUUUAUAGAAUGUGGGCAGGAGUGUGGAGAGGGAGAAUUUAUUUCAUUUCCUGUUUUCCAAACUUACUAAACUGUGGAAACUUUUUCUUUUGCAGCAUUGGGCAAAACUGAUGUUCUAAGGAACAUUCUUUAGGAAAGGUUAGCCAGAUCCGUGGUUCUCAACAGGCAUGUGGUACACAUUUAAUAAUGUCUGGAGACGUUUUUGGUUGUCACAACUGGGGAUCCAGGGAUGCUGCUAAACAUCCUGCAAUGCCUAGGACAGCCCUCCACAACGGAGAAUUAUCCAACUCAAAAUGCCAAUCAUUCUAAGGGGUUGAAAAACUCUGGACUAUAUGAACUAUCUCAAUUCUCUUUCAACACUAACAUUUAAAUGUGGUGUUUCUUGUUUUUUAAACACACAAAAUUUUAUUUCUGUUUUACACAAAGUCAGCUAUGGGUAUGGAUGAAUCUGCGGACAGUUUUCUUCCAUGUGUUGGCUCCAUAUUUCAGCUGCUUUGAUCUUUUUGACAUCUUAUCAAUGUGUUCUUCUAUGAUUUCCUUGGCAGAGAAAGAGAAAGCAGAGAGAAUCAUGUGCUGGAUCUUAAAUGCUUCUACGUGGAUGUAGUAAAUGUCUCUUCUACUUUUUUUAAAUAAGAAGUGUAUUAAAAUAUAAUCCAUGUAUCAUAUAAUUUACUCAUUUAAGGCAUAAAAUUCGGCUGGGUAUGGUGGCUCACACCUGUAAUCCCAGCACUUUGGGAGGUUGAGGUGGGGUGAAUCUCUUGAGCCCAGGAGUUUGAGACCAGACUGGGCAACAUGGCAAAACCCCAUCUCUACAAAAAAUACAAAAAUUAGCCAGGUGUGGUGGCACGCACCUGUAAUCCCAGCUAUUUGGGAGGUUGAGGUGGGAGUAUUGCUUGAGUUUUGAAGGCAGAGGUUGCAGUGAGCCAAGAUUGUGCCACUGCACUCCAGCCAGGGUGACAGAGUGAGACUGUCUCAAAAAAAAUUUUUCAGCUAAAAUAAAGUGUAAAACUCUGUAGUUUUUAGUGUAUCCACAAAAUGUGUGCAAUCGUCUCUACACUCAAUUUUAGAACAUUUGAAUCACCCCCAGAAGAAACACUGUACCUAUUAACAGCCAUUCCCAAUUUUCCCUCAACACCUCCACCUCAGCCCUAGGCAACCACUAACCUAUUUUCUAUCUCUAUAGGUUUACCUAUACUGGAUAUUACAUAUAAAUGGAAUCAUGUCCUUUGUAACUGUCUUCUUUCACUUUGCAUAAUGUUUUCAAGGUUCAUUCAUGUUGCAUCCUUCUCAAUAUUUCAUUUUUAUUGCUGAAUAAUAUUCCAUUGUAUGAAUAUAACACAUUUUAUUUAUCCAUUCAUCGCUUGAUGGAUAUAUGAGCCAUUUCUACUUUUUAGAUAUUCUGAAUAAUGCUGCUAUGAAUACUUAUAUGCAAGUUUUUACAUGGACGUAUGUCUUCAUUUCUCUUAGGUUAUAUAUCUAAGAAAGGAAUUACUGAAUCAUACGAUAACUUUAUGCUUAGACUUUUGAGAAACUGCCAGACUGCUCUCCAAAAUGACUGUGCCAUUUUACAUUCCCAAAAGUAAUGUAUGAAGUUUCUAAUUUUUCCACACCCUCACCAACACUUAUUAUCUGUGUUUUUGAUUCUUGCCAUCCUAGUGUGUGUGAAGUAGUUUCUCACUGUGAUUUGUAUUUGAAUCUUCUUGAAGGCUAAUGAUUUUGAGCAUCUUUUCAUGUGCUUAUCGUCUCUUCUUUAUAUAGAUGUCUAUUCAGGUCCUUGGCCCAUUUUUAAUUUGGGCUAUUUGUCUUUUCAUUACUGAGUUUUAAGAAUAAUUUUUGUUUAUUCUAGACACACAUCCCAUAUUAGAUAGGUGAUUUGCAACUAUUUCCUCCCAUUCUGUAGGUUUCUUGCUGGUGUCCUUUUAGGAAUAGAAGUUUUACGUUUUGAUGAAGUCAAGUGUGUAUGUUUUCUUUUGUUGCUUGUGUGUUUGAUCUCAUAUCAAAAAACCAUUGCACAAUCCAAGGCCACAAAGAGUUAUGUCUAUGUUUUCUAGAUUUUUAUCAUUUUAGUGCUUACAUUUAGGUCUUUGAUCUUUUUGUGUUAAUUUUUUAUAUUGGGUGUGAGGUAAAAAUCCAACUUCAUUCUUUUGCAUGUGAUAUCCAAUUAUCCAGAACCACUUGUUGAGAAGGCUAGUUCUUCCUCACUGGAUUAUCUUGGCACCCUUGUCAAAAAUAAGUUGACUGUAGAUGUGAAGGUGUAUGAGUUGCUAAAAUACCUCUUCUGUGAUAUUUAUAAUUUAUUUUCUAAAAGGAUAAGUUAUAGGUCACAUCUCAGAUUACAAUGAUUCAAGUCAAAAAGUUCAAAGUAGAAUUUACUUUCAAAAUUGUUUGUUCCCCCAGAGCUAGUUAAUGCCCCCAGAGCUAGUUAAUAAACUCUAUUUGCAGAUAAAAGCAUGCUUUCCCUUCAAAGGUAUUUCACCAAGACGGGAAACACAAAACUAAAUAAGCUGGGAAACUGAGGAUACACAGAGGGUCUCCUUAAUCUCUGGAUAUGUGGUCUAAUGUAUCCUUUUUGUGCUCAUUUUUUCCCUUUUAUCCAGAAAUACAACAUUACCUUUUUAUAAAAUUCCUGGAGAUUGAUCAUAUCUCUAGUGUUUGGGUCUAGAAUGUAUUUUUUGGCCAAAACAUCUCUUUACCCCACUUCCACAUGUGGAAAGAAAGAAAACAUGGUACUCUAAUCUCACAAGUGAGGCAUGGGGUUGUUUCCUGAAAUGAGGCAAGGACUUUGGACAAGAACAUGUUUGGACUUGAGAUGGUUUUUGUAAACCCAAAUGAUAUUAGUUCUAGUCUGUCUUUAUCGCUCACUGUAUUUUGUUUUCAUUCAUACUAAUGAAUAAUAGACUUGAUUGUGUUCCAUCAUUUAUGUCAUUAAUAUUUCCUUUAUGUUUGAGUGCUGUGCAGUUCUCCUUGAAACUUGUAUGGAGAUUGAACUUGAUAGUGAUUUAAAGUAAUUAAUUCAUAUGUCAGUUGUUAGCAAGGUCUAGUAAUUAAAAUCUACUUUAGAGUAAGUUAUUAACUCUCCAAAAUAAAAACACUUUAUCAACUUACCAGUUUUAGCUAUUUAUUCUACUUGACAGAUGAGAUAGGGUAGUUAUUGACUGUACAUAAUCACCUAUGUACUUUCACCACUGAACACUAGGGUCAAAUUGAAGUCUAGGUUAUUAAAGUUCAUAGUUUAAAUCUAGAAUAAACCAGUUCAGGUUGAUGGGAGAAGGAAGAGAGUGUCCUUGGAUCUUGUUAUCUUUGCAAUAUUGUCUCCUUAAAUUUUGCAAAGUCCAUUUUUGCUGUCUUCAAAAUUCUCAAACUUCUAAACUAAAAACACCCUAGACCAAGGAUUUCAUAUUGAGAUCUAAGAUAUCAAAGUGCUAUAUUGUUUAUGAUUUAUUUUAUAAUGCUUUUUAGUAAAACAAACUUUAGAUGCCAUGAUUUCCUUGUGAACAGGCUGGAGGGAAGAAAACAAGUUACACGUAAUGCAUGGGACACAAGUGCAGGCCUUUUAUUUGCAGGCCUAAACUAGUCACAAGUUUCCAUCUUAUGAAAGCAAGUUUUCUUUUAUUCUGCUUUGUUUUUUGUCUUGAUAUCUGGUUACAUUUAUUCAGUUUGAGGGCAUCUUAUAACGGGCCCUUUACUUCCCUCCAUUUGGCUUGUGAUGAACUACUACCAAGGUCAAUCCAGGUCUGACUCUUUCAUGGAGUCAGUGUGGCUGGGGUAGUGUUUCCCAAGCCAAGCUUGUCAUCAGAAUUACCUGGGGUGGUUUGUAAAGAACUUUUCAGGCCUCAUUCCAAACCUACUAAAUUUAGAUCUCUGGUGUGGAGCCUGUAAAUCUGUAUGUUUGAAACCUUCCCAAGGUGAUUCUGAUGUCCAGUCAUAUUUGGGUCAUAGUCCAGAAUGCAGUCAUGCAUUGCUUAAUGACAGGGAUUUGUUCUGAAAAAUGUGUCAUUAGGUAAUUUCUUCAUUGUAGAACCAUCAUAGAGUGUGAUUACACAAACCUAGAUGGUAUAGCCUACUACACACCUAGGCUAUGUGGUAUAGCCUAUUGCUCCCAGGCUACAAACCUGUACAGUAUGUUGCUGUACUGAACACUGUAAGUAAUUGUAAUACAAUGGUAAGUAUGUGUGUAUCUAAAUAUAUCUUAACAUAGAAAAGGUGCAGUAAAAAUACAGUAUUCAAAUCUCAUGAAACCACCAUCAUAUAAGAGGUCCGUAGUUGAACUGAAAUGUUGUUGUGUUGCCCAUGAUUGUACUUGGAUUUCAGGACUCUGCAGAUGCUUGGAGGUCUUAUGGGUUUGGCCAUGGGGUAUUGCCUCUGAGAAACUGCCAUCUGCUUGCCAGAGAUUCUGAAAAGACCAGAGUUGCCUAUUUGCAGUCUGUUCUUCAAGACUAUCUACUAUGUUGGCAAAAAGGCCUAGGUUUCUUCUCUGUCCAUUCUCAAUCCCUCAAUCUGUCCUUGUGACUUACUUGCUCCUUCAAGCUGCCCAGUAGUGGCGCUGGUGAAAAUAAAAUAGACUUUGGUCCUACAGACCUGUCAUGGACUCUCAGCUCAGCCUCUUCUAUGUGUGCCAUUUGCCUCAUCUGUAAAUGUAGUUAAUAUUGUCCUCUCAAAGAUGUUAGGAAAACCAGAAGAAUGUAUUUAUGUAACACCUAGAACAAGUAUACCCUGCAUUAGGCAUUAUUUGUUUGGUUUUACCUGUCCAUCUCAAUGAACAUGCUGGGUUAAUGAAGUGUGUUCAUCAAUUUUCCCUGAUCGUAGCCUUUUAGAUUGCUCUGGGCAGUGUUUCUCAAAGUAGGAGACACAGACCACCUACCUGUGAUUGACAGGAGGACAGAAAUCUGCUCUAAUGCACUCUAACCUUCUGCACUUUUCACUUUUUAUUGAAAUAUACAUAUAGAAAGGUGUAUUUAUUGUAAGUGAACAGCUCAGUGGCUUUUCCUAAACUGAACACACCCAUGUAACCAGCACCCAGAUCAAGAAACAGAACAUUACCAGCACCCCCGAAGCCUCCUCUGCAGGCACACUUUAAGAACCACUGGUCUAGGAAGAGCCCAGCUGGGGCACUGUCCUAAACCACCGUCCCGCCUUUACCUAGCAGGCCAAAUCUGCAUGCAGUGUCAGCUAUUCCCAAUCUGAGAGGCUGGGCCUAUAGCCUCACAUACACCCUUCAUAGUGAUGCAACUUCAUUUGUAAAAAGGGUCACAAAGGGUGUUUCUAUAAUUUAUAUUCCUAGCAUACACCCUAAACUGCUUAAAGCAAAUGAAUUCAGGUCCCAGCCAAAAAGGAGUGGAGACCAGUCACUGCCUGAAAGCAUUGGCUUAUUACAACACUCCAGCAUUUUCUCACGGCAGGGUGAAUGAGGUGGAUUCUAGUGUAAUUACCUUUAUGUAAUUGAAAACUAAAUCACCGAUGGCUGCAGAGUUUAAAUAUCCAUUUAAAUACUUUCAAUUUAUUCAGCUUAUUUUUUCAGGACAUGCUACUACCAAAUAGGCUAUUAAUUUUUCUAAUGGAUUAAAAUCUGAAUAGGUACAUUAAAAACUAGCAUAGCUCAAAUAAAUGUCCUCUUUUUCCAAAGAUUAUUAAAGAGAGUUUUCUUUUUCUUUAACCCAGCUAUUCAAAUACUCUAUUAGACCAGGACCUGUAAUAAUACAGGCCUUGUCCAGAAGGGAUCAGGUUUCUAUGUUAUAUAAUUAGGCAAGACUUUAAAUAGUAAGACAUGCACCUGUGGUGCUUUUGUCUCUAACUCCACAAAUUUCAACAUGCAUACAAAUCAAGAAGGGGUGGGGGUGUUACAUGCAAAUUCUGCUUCAGUGGGUGUUGGAGCCUGAGAUUCUGGCUUUCUAACAAGCUCCCAGGUAAGUGCUGAUGCUGCUGCUUUGAGGGCCACACACCUUGAGGAGUAGGAAGAGUACUCAUACUGGAAGAGUAUUCAGCACGGACUGGAAUCCUGCAUACAUAUCUGAGCUCUGUGUUCUGGUAUGUAUAUAGACUUUUUAAAAAAAUUAGUAGAGAUGGGGUCUCACCAUUUUGGCCAGGCUGGUCUCAAACUCCAGGGCUCAAGAGAUCCUCCUGCCUUGGCCUCCCAAAGUGCUGAGAUUACAGGCAUGAGCCACUAUACCUGGCUUAUAUAGACUGCUUCUAAGGUCCAUUCUAACUGUACAAUUCCAUGAUUCAGUCACUGUUUGGCUAUUAACUAAUUUUUUUAGGCUUCUGAUUCUCAUUGUUUAUAAGCUGCUAUAUUAGAGAAUGUUCUGUACUGGAAGGCCAGAUAAAAAGUCUUACUUAUGGCCAGUAAGUUUUAUUUUUCAAUCUUCUACAAGUCUGCCUCAACCCAUGGGAAAUCUUGGCUAAUAGUAACAUGAUACUGGGCUUGGACCAUAAACUAAACUUGAGUCAGCAAUGUAGGGCUUUGGUUAGAUAAGCAAGAAUGAACUUGGGAAUAUAACCAAAAGAAAGGGACAGCUAAUCCUACCAGAACAGGCAGUAUUUAUAUGAAUACUUUUUUCAAAUAUCCACAACUGGGAAAAGCUGCUGAACACAUAAAGAAAAGUUAAAAGCACGGCAUUAUUUAGCUAGUGAAAAGAGAACAAAGAAUGCCUUAAGAAUAAUUUUUGAAUGGCAGCAGAAACCAGCAUAUCCUGUGAAGUAAAUGCAUUUUCAGGACCUCAAAAUAGAUUUAGGUUGCCUCUAAAGCAGAACUUUCCCAUGAUAAUGAUGAUCCUAGGUGGUAGGAUUGCCAAUGGUAAUUUUCUUUCCCAAAGAUUCUUACAACCAACCAUAAACCUACUAGAUAACCUAUCAGUUGUGUUAUUAACUGAUAUAUCAGUUGGGGUUCAGUGCAGACACUUCUCUAGGUACUGAAUGCUAAGAAUUAUAUGCUUAAAAAUUAUAUGCUCUUACCAUUAGAAGAGCUGGAAGAAGGCUGAGGGAGAUGCCUUCUUCCAGCCCUUCUAAUGGUAGGAGCAUUAAGAGGGAUGCUGUUGGGCUCGCAGUUCAGUCCACACAGCUACAAUCUAGAGGUCAGGAAGCUAUAAAGUCCACUGCUGGCAUCACAGUCAUUUCUCACAGAUGAAGUUAGUGGCAAUGCAGAGGCACAGAAAGUCUGGUCAUUAAAAACCACAUUUAAUGUUGCACGUACAUCAACA
Molecule: long non-coding RNA, 9062 nt
Filed under: Homo sapiens (human)
Lineage: Eukaryota; Metazoa; Chordata; Mammalia; Primates; Hominidae
Description: HSALNT0307483
Source: RNAcentral